This 466-nucleotide ribosomal RNA is filed under the name uncultured bacterium. Its description in RNAcentral is "partial 16S ribosomal RNA". It matches the Rfam family "Bacterial small subunit ribosomal RNA", at positions 28 to 505 of the family's 1533-position model. The record is from RNAcentral.
GACGAACGCUGGCGGCGUGCUUAACACAUGCAAGUCGAACGGAAAGGCCCUGCUUUUGUGGGGUGCUCGAGUGGCGAACGGGUGAGUAACACGUGAGUAACCUGCCCUUGACUUUGGGAUAACUUCAGGAAACUGGGGCUAAUACCGGAUAGGAGCUCCUGCUGCAUGGUGGGGGUUGGAAAGUUUCGGCGGUUGGGGAUGGACUCGCGGCUUAUCAGCUUGUUGGUGGGGUAGUGGCUUACCAAGGCUUUGACGGGUAGCCGGCCUGAGAGGGUGACCGGCCACAUUGGGACCGAGAUACGGCCCAGACUCCUACGGGAGGCAGCAGGGGGGAAUAUUGCACAAUGGGCGGAAGCCUGAUGCAGCAACGCCGCGUGCGGGAUGACGGCCUUCGGGUUGUAAACCGCUUUCGCCUGUGACGAAGCGUGAGUGACGGUAAUGGGUAAAGAAGCACCGGCUAACUACG